UUGUAUUAGCACGUUUGCGCGGAGGGCUCUGAU
RNAcentral lists this ribosomal RNA (33 nucleotides) under uncultured Colletotrichum. RNAcentral's name for it is "partial 18S ribosomal RNA". The record is from RNAcentral. Lineage: Eukaryota; Fungi; Ascomycota; Sordariomycetes; Glomerellales; Plectosphaerellaceae.